CCCUUAGAUGUUCUGGGCAGCACGCGCGCUACAAUGGUCUUCGCAAACGGAUGCAUUCUCGAAGGAGAAUGCCAAUCUUGGAAUCUAUGCCUUGGUCGGGACAGUUGCUUGCAAUUUUUCGACCCGAACCAGGAAUUCCUUGUAAUCGUGAUUCAUCACAUCACGAUGAAUACGUCCCUGCCCUUUGUACACACCGCCCGUCGCUCCUACCGAUCGAAGAGUUAGGUGAAUUGUUUUGAUCGAUAAGAUUUGACUAUGGUCAACUCUCGUUGUGAAAUUCUGUGAAGCUGACUGUUUAGAGGAAGGAAAAGUCGUAACA
This 319-nucleotide ribosomal RNA is filed under the name uncultured eukaryote. RNAcentral describes it as "partial 18S ribosomal RNA". It matches the Rfam family "Eukaryotic small subunit ribosomal RNA", at positions 1470 to 1796 of the family's 1831-position model. The record is from RNAcentral.